RNAcentral lists this ribosomal RNA (496 nucleotides) under uncultured bacterium. Its description in RNAcentral is "partial 16S ribosomal RNA". It matches the Rfam family "Bacterial small subunit ribosomal RNA", at positions 29 to 507 of the family's 1533-position model. The record is from RNAcentral.
AUGAACGCUGGCGGCGUGCCUAAUACAUGCAAGUCGAGCGAACAGACGAGGAGCUUGCUCCUCUGACGUUAGCGGCGGACGGGUGAGUAACACGUGGAUAACCUACCUAUAAGACUGGGAUAACUUCGGGAAACCGGAGCUAAUACCGGAUAAUAUAUUGAACCGCAUGGUUCAAUAGUGAAAGACGGUUUUGCUGUCACUUAUAGAUGGAUCCGCGCCGCAUUAGCUAGUUGGUAGGGUAACGGCUUACCAAGGCAACGAUGCGUAGCCGACCUGAGAGGGUGAUCGGCCACACUGGAACUGAGACACGGUCCAGACUCCUACGGGAGGCAGCAGUAGGGAAUCUUCCGCAAUGGGCGAAAGCCUGACGGAGCAACGCCGCGUGAGUGAUGAAGGUCUUCGGAUCGUAAAACUCUGUUAUUAGGGAAGAACAAAUGUGUAAGUAACUAUGCACGUCUUGACGGUACCUAAUCAGAAAGCCACGGCUAACUACGUG